Hypomesus transpacificus is the source of this 1611-nucleotide non-coding RNA. The record is from the annotation of a RefSeq genome assembly. NCBI's taxonomy places the organism in Eukaryota, Metazoa, Chordata, Actinopteri, Osmeriformes, Osmeridae.
AACAAUCCUUCUACAGUGGUUGUACCAGCCUCUACCAUGAUCUACAAUAGAAAUAUUCUGUAGGGUCUUAUGUUCAGGGGAGGUACUAUUGAAGUCAUGUGGGGAUGCAUGCUAAAGAAAAGCAUCAUUUAAGACAGGGCAUAACAUACUGUCGUACAGUUUCCCUCUUUGUUCUACAAAGACUGCACUUCCAGAGCAUAAUACAUACUACAAUAACUUUAUUUUAAAAUGUUAUUUCUGUAUUUUGAGGUGUUCCUUGCUACAAUUUCAGGUAUCUUUUGUCAAGAACUCACUCCACUCAAGAAGGAAGUGAAGAGUUUAGAGGGUGACACCGUUACUCUGUCCUACAGCUACUCCAAAACUGUUACAGGCAUAUUCUGUCAAGACCUCACUCCAGUGAAGAAUGAAGUGAACAGUGUACAGGGUAACACUGUUACUUUGUCCUACAGCUACCCAAAAACUGUUAAAGCUAGUGAUGAAAUCUACUGGUAUCAACAAGAUCAUGGAAAACCACCAGGAUUCCUUGUGUCAGUCUUAGGAUUUGAGUCCUCAAAUAAAACUAGCAACCUCAACAAUCGAAUAUCUGCUAACCUAAACGGAGGGAAAGACCGCCUGAAUCUGAUCAUCUCCUCUGCUGAAGUGACAGACUCUGCUCUAUACUACUGUGCUGUGAGGCCCACAGUGACAGGAAACACAGACACACUGUACAAAAACUACAGCAACUGAAGAACUUCACAAUUCUUAUUCUGUACUUUUAUAUUACUCUCCACCCACAUAAUUAAUGAAUAAGUAAAUACAAUUUAUGAUUCAAAUGUUUCUAUUUGUGUUCUCCCAAUGUGUCUUCUACCUUUUAUUGCGCUCAGGAACAUAAGAAGACAUUUGAUUUGAGUUUUAAUAGGUUUGCUGGUUAUGUAUUUAAAUAAACUGCUCCAGUUGCAGUGGCCGUAAGCACACAAUUUCCCCAAAAAUUUGACUUUCCAUUGGCAGAUCUAAAGUGAGGUUGGCAGGGCAAUUUCCAGGCAGACACAGCCAGGAUGGGUAAGGCAGAUGCAAGUGUUGUCUCCCAUUACAAGUGUUACUUUUGUCUGGCCUGUGUCUCCAGGAUCACCCUGCUCACCUACUGACACAGGACAGACAAAAGUUAGCGAAACAAAAACACUUGUAAUACUCUGAGUUUGAACUAGUGCAACUGAAAGUGUAGAAACAGCAAUCUCUGCGAUGAAUUACAGGAAAACCAGGCGGGUCUGAUGAGCUGAUGGGAGACAGGGUUAGAGACCGGGGGAAUGUGGAGUGAUGUCAUCAGGGCUAGAGAGCGGAGCCACACCCACCACAAGCACACACAGUAAAACAAAUGGAGAAAGACGGAAACAAGGUGAAGGGCAUGACAAUAAUAUGACAGGAAUAUUAUUAUUGGCAUUAUUCAAACUACAACUUUACAAUAAUUGAUGGUACCAUCAGGUCACACCAUCUCUGCCACCCCAUUGUUACCCCAGGUGAAAAGAAAAGCUUCAACAUUUUCACAGGUCACAAUCUUCUAAAAAAUUGGCACACAGGAUCCUUGUUUACUAUUGUACGUCCUUGUUUACUAUUGUGUGUUUACAAAUAAUAAAA